CUGCCUUAAACUAAUGAGUAAGGAAAACAAAGCGAGCGGCGGGAGCUGUUCGCCGCGCUGACCCAUUGGUGCGCAAGAAUUUAUGGAGGGGUUAUAGGCUGGCCGAGUGUUGACGCUGCUUACUUUGCAGAACUCUCUCGAGCGGGCCUCCC
Molecule: small nuclear RNA, 152 nt
Organism: Malania oleifera
Lineage: Eukaryota; Viridiplantae; Streptophyta; Magnoliopsida; Santalales; Ximeniaceae
Product: U12 minor spliceosomal RNA
Exons: 1
Source: RefSeq, a predicted model, not a curated record